Molecule: transfer RNA, 74 nt
Filed under: Desulfacinum hydrothermale DSM 13146
Lineage: Bacteria; Pseudomonadati; Thermodesulfobacteriota; Syntrophobacteria; Syntrophobacterales; Syntrophobacteraceae
Rfam family: tRNA
About the family: Transfer RNA (tRNA) molecules are approximately 80 nucleotides in length. Their secondary structure includes four short double-helical elements and three loops (D, anti-codon, and T loops). Further hydrogen bonds mediate the characteristic L-shaped molecular structure. tRNAs have two regions of fundamental functional importance: the anti-codon, which is responsible for specific mRNA codon recognition, and the 3' end, to which the tRNAs corresponding amino acid is attached (by aminoacyl-tRNA synthetases). tRNAs cope with the degeneracy of the genetic code in two manners: having more than one tRNA (with a specific anti-codon) for a particular amino acid; and 'wobble' base-pairing, i.e. permitting non-standard base-pairing at the 3rd anti-codon position.
Source: Rfam by way of RNAcentral
GCGCCUGUAGCUCAGGUGGAUAGAGCAGUGGACUUCUAAUCCACGGGUCGGGGGUUCGAAUCCUCCCAGGCGCG